GACGAACGCUGGCGGCGUGCUUAACACAUGCAAGUCGAACGGAAAGGCCCUGCUUUUGUGGGGUGCUCGAGUGGCGAACGGGUGAGUAACACGUGAGUAACCUGCCCUUGACUUUGGGAUAACUUCAGGAAACUGGGGCUAAUACCGGAUAGGAGCUCCUGCUGCAUGGUGGGGGUUGGAAAGUUUCGGCGGUUGGGGAUGGACUCGCGGCUUAUCAGCUUGUUGGUGGGGUAGUGGCUUACCAAGGCUUUGACGGGUAGCCGGCCUGGGAGGGUGACCGGCCACAUGGGGCCUGAGAUAGGGCCCAGACUCCUACGUGAGGCAGCAGUGGGGAGUAUUGCACAAUGGGCGGAAGCCUGAUGCAGCAGCGCCGCGUGCGUGAUGACGGCCUUCGGGUUGUAAACCGCUUUCGCCUGUGACGAAGCGUGAGUGACGGUAAUGGGUAAAGAAGCACCGGCUAACUACGUG
This 468-nucleotide ribosomal RNA is filed under the name uncultured bacterium. RNAcentral describes it as "partial 16S ribosomal RNA". It matches the Rfam family "Bacterial small subunit ribosomal RNA", at positions 28 to 507 of the family's 1533-position model. The record is from RNAcentral.